This 165-nucleotide long non-coding RNA is filed under the name Fukomys damarensis (Damara mole-rat). RNAcentral's name for it is "lncRNA (ENSFDAG00000033261.1)". Lineage: Eukaryota; Metazoa; Chordata; Mammalia; Rodentia; Bathyergidae. The record is from RNAcentral.
CAGGUAUUUUGUCACAGCAAUGGAUAUCAGACUAAUACAACAAAAGAGAACAAAGAAUGAAAAGAAAAACAAUGCCCUUCUCCAUCCUCCCAUCUGCCAUGCCACCAGAUACAAAGGAAAAUUAUAUUCCCCAGCCACCCAAUAUCUCAGAAGGAAGAUAUGGCC